GUUCAGGUGGUGUAAUGGUUAACACCCCUGCUAUAUAUAUAUGCAGAAGCCCUGGGUUCAAUCCCCAGUCUGGCCA
Hysterangium stoloniferum is the source of this 76-nucleotide non-coding RNA. NCBI's taxonomy places the organism in Eukaryota, Fungi, Basidiomycota, Agaricomycetes, Hysterangiales, Hysterangiaceae. The record is from the annotation of a GenBank genome assembly.